This is a long non-coding RNA of Tupaia belangeri chinensis (Chinese tree shrew), 626 nucleotides long. RefSeq lists it as uncharacterized. NCBI's taxonomy places the organism in Eukaryota, Metazoa, Chordata, Mammalia, Scandentia, Tupaiidae. The record is from RefSeq and is a predicted model, not a curated record. The transcript is spliced from 5 exons.
AGCUGAAGAGUGAUGCUCGGCCCCGGGCGACGCAGGGCCGCACCCAGCCUCCCACGCGUCGGAACCGCGGGGCGGGUCGGGCUUGUGUUGGUGCGCGCCCCGCAGCGCCCAGGGCAGAGGGGCGUUCCCGCACACGCGGCCGGGGCGCGGACUUGCUCUGCCGCGAGAGGACCCAUCUCGCCGCAGGUGUCCUAAGGCCUCGUUCCUGGCAGGCCGUCUGCUCCUGCUGGACCUGGUGGCUCUGCAGACACCUGCUGCCCAGCCGGCAGAGGGACUCACGCAGGGAAGGCCAGCACAGGUUCGCAGAGGGUGACAUCACUGUAGUUGGCCCAGUAAGCACAGGAGAGAGAAGAAAACCAGGAGCAGCAGGCGGCACGGAGGCAGGGCUACUGUAGGCCUGGGAGACGCUAGAACCUCUGAGUGCCCCGCGUGGACCCUGACCCCUCACCACAGACUCAGCGGUGCUGCCGUUCGUCAGUGACCUGUCUUCUUGCUGAUUCUUGUUCGUUGCAGGAAAAUGGGGUUGACGCCGGUGUCCCCUGUCUCAUCGGCUGAUGGACUCUCAUCGAGGUUCCUGUCGUAACCCUUCCUCACUGGAUUUUGGGCACACGCACACAGGUGUCCAG